RNAcentral lists this unclassified non-coding RNA (301 nucleotides) under Hevea brasiliensis (rubber tree). The record is from RNAcentral. Lineage: Eukaryota; Viridiplantae; Streptophyta; Magnoliopsida; Malpighiales; Euphorbiaceae.
GAGAAGGCUAGCAAGCAAAGCAAACUAAGCAAGUUCAUUAAGGCUCCUAUUAGGAUCUUGACCAAGGCCAGGGACUUUUACAUCAAAAGCAUGACAGAAUACUCCGAUCGGCUCGGUUAUGGCACAGUCACGGGUUGCCCUACAGGCCAAAUAGUGAAUAACUUGCCUAAGAGUUUUAGUGUGAAUUCAACAAAAACAACCAACCAUGAUGAUGAUUAUAGAGAGCUUGUAAGGGCUGCUUCCACCAGAGGUUUAAGCAGUAGGGUUCAGUUGGAUCUUCUUCAAAGACAGCAAUCUCAAU